AUACGUAGGUGGCAAGCGUUGUCCGGAAUUAUUGGGCGUAAAGCGCAUGUAGGCGGUGCCUUAAGUCUGUCGUGAAACUGCGGGGCUUACCCCCGUAUGGCGAUGGAAACUGUGGCACUUGAGUGCAGGAGAGGAAAGGGGAACUCCCAGUGUAGCGGUGAAAUGCGUAGAUAUUGGGAAGAACACCGGUGGCGAAGGCGCCUUUCUGGACUGUGUCUGACGCUGAGAUGCGAAAGCCAGGGUAGCGAACGGGAUUAGAUACCCCGGUAGUCCUGGCCGUAAACGAUGGGUACUAGGUGUGGGAGGUAUCGACCCCUUCCGUGCCGGAGUUAACGCAAUAAGUACCCCGCCUGGGGAGUACGGCCGCAAGGCUUAAACUCAAAGGAAUUGACGGGG
Molecule: ribosomal RNA, 396 nt
Filed under: uncultured bacterium
Lineage: Bacteria
Description: partial 16S ribosomal RNA
Rfam family: Bacterial small subunit ribosomal RNA
Source: RNAcentral